RNAcentral lists this ribosomal RNA (264 nucleotides) under uncultured archaeon. Its description in RNAcentral is "partial 16S ribosomal RNA". It matches the Rfam family "Archaeal small subunit ribosomal RNA", at positions 719 to 982 of the family's 1478-position model. The record is from RNAcentral.
ACGUCUACAUUAGAUACCCGGGUAGUCCCAGCCGUAAACUAUGCGCGUUAGGUGUAUCGGUGACCACGAGUCACCGAGGUGCCGAAGGGAAACCGUGAAACGUGCCGCCUGGGAAGUACGGUCGCAAGGCUGAAACUUAAAGGAAUUGGCGGGGGAGCACCACAACCGGGUGGAGCCUGCGGUUUAAUUGGACUCAACGCCGGGAAGCUCACCGGAUAAGACAGCGGAAUGAUUGCCGGGCUGAAGACUCUGCAUGACUAGCUG